AUUCCAGCUCCAAUAGCGUAUAUUAAAGUUGUUGCAGUUAAAAAGCUCGUAGUUGGAUUUCGGAAUGGGUCAGUUGGUCCGCCUCACGGUGUGUUACUGACUGGUCUGUUCUUCUUCGCAAAGACUGUGUAUUCUCUUCAUUGAGUGGGCUCAGGAUUUACGACGUUUACUUUGAAAAAAUUAGAGUGUUCAAAGCAGGCCUACCGCUUGAAUACAUGAGCAUGGAAUAAUGGAAUAGGACUUUGGUCUUAUUUUGUUGGUUUCUAAGACCGAAGUAAUGAUUAAGAGGGACAGUUGGGGGCAUUAGUAUUUCGUUGUCAGAGGUGAAAUUCUUGGAUUUACGAAAGACUAACAACUGCGAAAGCAUUUGCCAAGAAUGUUUUCAUUG
Molecule: ribosomal RNA, 388 nt
Filed under: Aglaura sp.
Lineage: Eukaryota; Metazoa; Cnidaria; Hydrozoa; Trachymedusae; Rhopalonematidae
Description: partial small subunit ribosomal RNA
Rfam family: Eukaryotic small subunit ribosomal RNA
Source: RNAcentral